This 118-nucleotide ribosomal RNA is filed under the name Volvox carteri f. nagariensis. The record is from RNAcentral. Lineage: Eukaryota; Viridiplantae; Chlorophyta; Chlorophyceae; Chlamydomonadales; Volvocaceae.
UGGAUUCUUCAUACCAGACGAACACUGCCCAUCCCAUCAGCACUGGGCACAUAAGCAACAUUGGGCCAGAUCAGUAGUACGGUGGGGGACCACGUGCGAACCCGUGGUGACGAUCUGU